CUGGUUGAUCCUGCCAGUAGUCAUAUGCUUGUSUCAAAGAUUAAGCCAUGCAUGUCUAAGUAUAAGCAAUUUAUACAGUGAAACUGCGAAUGGCUCAUUAAAUCAGUUAUCGUUUAUUUGAUAGUUCCUUUACUACAUGGUAUAACUGUGGUAAUUCUAGAGCUAAUACAUGCUUAAAAUCUCGACCCUUUGGAAGAGAUGUAUUUAUUAGAUAAAAAAUCAAUGUCUUCGGACUCUUUGAUGAUUCAUAAUAACUUUUCGAAUCGCAUGGCCUUGUGCUGGCGAUGGUUCAUUCAAAUUUCUGCCCUAUCAACUUUCGAUGGUAGGAUAGUGGCCUACCAUGGUUUCAACGGGUAACGGGGAAUAAGGGUUCGAUUCCGGAGAGGGAGCCUGAGAAACGGCUACCACAUCCAAGGAAGGCAGCAGGCGCGCAAAUUACCCAAUCCUAAUUCAGGGAGGUAGUGACAAUAAAUAACGAUACAGGGCCCAAUCGGGUCUUGUAAUUGGAAUGAGUACAAUGUAAAUACCUUAACGAGGAACAAUUGGAGGGCAAGUCUGGU
This 560-nucleotide ribosomal RNA is filed under the name uncultured Saccharomyces. RNAcentral's name for it is "SSU rRNA". It matches the Rfam family "Eukaryotic small subunit ribosomal RNA", at positions 4 to 567 of the family's 1831-position model. Lineage: Eukaryota; Fungi; Ascomycota; Saccharomycetes; Saccharomycetales; Saccharomycetaceae. The record is from RNAcentral.